GGCGAACGGGUGAGUAACACGUGGGUGAUCUGCCUUGCACUCUGGGAUAAGCUUGGGAAACUGGGUCUAAUACCGGAUAGGAACCGUCUUUAGUGUGGUGGUUGGAAAGUUUUUUCGGUGCAAGAUGAGCUCGCGGCCUAUCAGCUUGUUGGUGGGGUAAUGGCCUACCAAGGCGUCGACGGGUAGCCGGCCUGAGAGGGUGUACGGCCACAUUGGGACUGAGAUACGGCCCAG
This 234-nucleotide ribosomal RNA is filed under the name uncultured Actinomycetales bacterium. RNAcentral's name for it is "partial 16S ribosomal RNA". It matches the Rfam family "Bacterial small subunit ribosomal RNA", at positions 97 to 334 of the family's 1533-position model. Lineage: Bacteria; Bacillati; Actinomycetota; Actinomycetes; Actinomycetales. The record is from RNAcentral.